CAGCGAAUGACUUGAUCUUGAGACACCUUUGAAAGGUGUCUUUCAACUCUAAUAGUAUGAGUCUGGUCAUUGGCCCUUAGUUUCCAUGGACAGUAAAUUGCAAACCAUACAAAAAGAUAUAUGAGGAGAAAGUGAAGUGAAGGAGAUGCACUUAUGGAAAUGAAUCUAAACAUAAGAGAAGGCUCUGGAUUUAGGCAUCAUUGGCCCUUUACCUCUGGGAGGGAAAUUCCCAACAAUCUGCAGGAUCUUUGAUGGCCAAGGAGGAUUUUGGAGAAAAAGUAACGUUAAACAGAUAGCAGUUACUAUAUGCUGGGCUAUGGAUUGAUCUGGGAUGGGCAUUUUGACAGUUCCUGCCAAUGAGAGGGAAGUAUAGUCAGCCAGGGGCUUCUGGGAAAGAUGGUAUGGAAGAUCUCUUUUGCCCUUUCUUUCCUGCCUGUAACACUGCUAUAUGAGGUAUAAUGUUGGAGCUGCCUCAGCCAUCUGGUGAUUUGAAGGGAGACUGAGGAUGACUGAGCAGAAAGAAAGAAAGAGACACUGCACCGUGCCGGGAUUGUCUUCAUGCAGACUGUUGAAAAAUAGAUCUCAGAAAAUGUUUUUAUAGUGCCCUAAGUUUCCUAAGGAUUUAGACUCAAAGCAUGGAAAUGAAGAACCUAGCUGUAAUACUAAGAUGCAUGAAGGUGAUGAGAGUGUCUAUUGCGUGAAGUUACCAUAAUCACCUGAACCAGUUCCUUAGCAGAGAAUAUUUAGGCUGUUUCUGACCUUUGCUGGUAGCAACAACAAUGCAGUGACUAUCCUGGAACAAAUGCCAUUUUGCUCCUGUAUGAAAAUAUCUGCAGGGUAACUUCCUAGAAGUCCAACUGCUAAGCAAUUUGGGUCUUCAGAGAUGAUUAAGAUGAAGUCAUCGGGUGGGCCCUAAUCCAAUAGGACUGUGUGUUUAUAAAAUGGGGAGAUUUGGACACAGAAACACACACACACACACACUGGGAGAACGCCAUGUGAAGAUGAAGGCAGAGAUUGGACUGAUGCUUCUACAAACCAAGGAACGCCAAAAACUGCCAGCAAACCACCAGGAGCUAGGAGAGAGGCGUGGAACAAAGGCUCCCUCACAGCUGUCAAGAGAACCAGGCUGCCAACACCCUGAUCUUGGACUUCUAACCCCAGAGCUGUGAUACAACAAAUAGCUGUUGUUUAAGCCACACAGUUUGUGGUAGUCGCAGUCCUACAGACUAAAAUACCAGGUAGUCAAGAAGUAGAAACGCAGCAGAUAGAAUAAAUAACUCAGCAGUCUUAAAUUUUUGACUUGGGAGAACCAUUAUGUUUGUUUAUUAAUAACAUUAAUUUCAGUCUUUUUUCAAAAAAUUUUUUUAUUGUGGUCUAAAUAGUUUAUAACAUUGUGAAAUUUCAGCAAUACAUUAAUAUUUGUCAAACACCAUAUAAGUGUGCCCCUGCACUCCUUGUGCCCACCUUCCCCCUCCUUUCCUCUGGUAACCACUAAAUUGUUCUCUUUGUCUGAAGGUUGUUUAUAUCCCACAUGUGAGUGAAAUCAUACGGUGUUUGUCUUUCUCUAUCUGGCUUAUUUUGCUUGACAUGAUGCCCUCAAGGUCCAUCCAUGUGGCUGUGAAUGGGACAAUUAUGUCUUUUCUUAUGGCUGAGUAGUAUUCCAUUGUAUAUAUAUACACACACCACAUCUUCUUUACCCGCUGGGCACUUGGGUUGCUGCCACAUCUUGGCUAUUGUGAAUAAUGCUGCAAUGAACAUAGGGGUACAUAAGUCUCUUUGUAUUAGUGAUUUCAAGUUCUUUGGAUAAAUACCCAGUAGUGGGAUAGCUGGGUCAUAUGGUAAUUCUGUUUUUAAUUUUUUGAGAAAUCUCCAUACUGUUUUCCAAAGUGGCUGCACCAGUUUGCAUUCUCACCAGCAGUGGAUGAGGGUUCUCUUUUCUUCACAACCUCUCCAACAUUUAUUAUUUUUUGUCUUGAUGAUUAUAGCCAUUCUAAAUGGGUGUACGGUGAUAUCUAAGUGUAGUUUUGAUUUGCAUCCCCUGAUGAUUAGUGAUCUUUUCAUGUGCCUAUAGCCAUUUGUAUAUCUUCUUUGGAAAAAUGUCUGUUCAUAUCCUCUGCCCACUUUUUGAUUGGGUUGUUUAUUCUUUUGUAGUUCAAUUGUGUUAGUUGUUUAUGUAUAGUGGAGAUUAACCCUUUAUUGGAUUUAUGAUUAGCAAAUAUUUUCUCCCAGUUGUUGGGUUGUUUUUUCAUUUUGAUCUUGGUUUCUUUUGCCUUGCAGAAGCUCUUUAGUAUGAUAAAGUCCCACUUGUUUAUUUUUUCUUUUGUUUCCCCUGUCUGAGUGGACAUCAACAUUAACUUCAUUCUUAACAUGAAUUUUUUGCCUUAAUAAGUUCCUGCAAUUAAAGCAACACAAAGGGGCCAGCCCGGUGGCACAGUGGUUAAGUUCGCACAUUCCACUUCUUGGCAGCCCGGGGUUCACUGGUCUGGAUCCUGGGUGCGGACAUGGCACUGCUUGGCAAAAGCCAUGCUGUGGUAGGCAUCUCAUGUAUAAAGUAGAGGAAGAUGGGCACGGAUGUUAGCUCAGGGCCAGUCUUCCUCGGCAAAAAAGAGGAGGAUUGGCAGUAGUUAGCUCAGGGCUAAUCUUCCUGAAAAAAAAAUAAAAGCAAAACAAAGCUACACCGAAUAGUAAUCUGAUACCAGAAAUUCGAGAAACUAUUCAACAUGAAUAGUAAGGAGAGAGGAUUGAACUCCACAAAUAAACUCUGCUCCAAAAGUAACAUCCUAGUGACCAGAGAUUUAAUUUAAAGAAGCUUAGCAAAAAUAUUUAAAUAAUUUAAGAACAUACUAAUUCCCUAAAUAAAUUAUA
RNAcentral lists this long non-coding RNA (2865 nucleotides) under Equus caballus (horse). RNAcentral describes it as "lncRNA (ENSECAG00000056504.1)". The record is from RNAcentral. Lineage: Eukaryota; Metazoa; Chordata; Mammalia; Perissodactyla; Equidae.